RNAcentral lists this transfer RNA (87 nucleotides) under Pseudohongiella nitratireducens. Its description in RNAcentral is "tRNA-Leu". It matches the Rfam family "tRNA". Rfam says of the family: Transfer RNA (tRNA) molecules are approximately 80 nucleotides in length. The record is from RNAcentral. Lineage: Bacteria; Pseudomonadati; Pseudomonadota; Gammaproteobacteria; Pseudomonadales; Pseudohongiellaceae.
GCCGGAGUGGUGAAAUUGGUAGACACGCCGGAUUCAAAAUCCGGUGCUGGUGACAGCGUGCCGGUUCAAGUCCGGCCUCCGGUACCA